AAAGAAUGCAACACACCACGCCACUCCCACAAAUAGAAGACAGACCAAGGUGCUAACAGAGUGGAUGACUACUGGGCAAGGGAGGAAAAGAAUGCAACACACCACGCCACUCCCACAAAUAGAAGACAGACCAAGGUGCUAACGGAGUGGAUGACUACUGGGCAAGACAGCUGGUUGGCAAGGGACUGAAUGUGGAGGCAGGGCAAGGGAGGGAAAGAAUGCAACACACCAAUCCCACAAAUAGAAGAGACUGAGGUGCUAACAGAGUGGAUGACUACUGGGCGACACAGCUGGUUGGCAAGGGAAUGAAUGUGGCCAGAAGGAGUGCUGGAACAGGGAGAAUUAGGGACGUUCCUGCCUUUGCCACACCUAUAAGAAAAGUUCUGUGGUGUUUGAAAAAUAGAUACCCCCAAAAAUAAACUAACAGCUGGUAGGGGAGGAACUGAACGUGGCCAGAGGGAGUGAUGGGACAGGGAGAAUUAUAGACAGUUCUGCCUUUGCCAAACCCAUAGGGAAAAUUCUGUGGUGUUUGAAAUAUAGAUACCCAAAAAAUAAACUGACAGCUGGUAGGGGAGGAACUGAAUGUGGCCAGAGGGAGUGAUGGAAUAGGGAGAAUUAAACACUUCUGCCUUUGCCACACCCAUAGGAAAAAUUCUGUGGUGUUUAAGAUAUAAAUACCCCAAAAUAAUAAAUGACAGCUGGUUGGCAAGGGUCUGAAUGUGGCCAGAGGGAGUGAUGGAAUAGGGAGAAUUAAACACUUCUGCCUUUGCCACACCCAUAGGAAAAAUGCUGUGGUGUUUAAGAUAUAAAUACCCCAAAAAGUAAACUAAAACCGAAGAAAAUACAAAUGCUUCAACCUCUAAAACUAGCAGCAGGGUUCCAUAAAAAAGGACUUUAAGGUUCAAUUCACACAAGCACUAUAUUCCUGUAGUGCUGCAGGUGAACCAUAUAGGGUAAGAAUGUAAAGGAAAAACACUAUAGCAUGAAGACAGGCCUCCUAUACAGCCUACCGCACAGCCAUUCUAACGUACAGAAAAAAUAUGUUCAUGUGACGCAACCCUAAGAGGACACACCAUAAACAGAUGAGUUGAUGAUAGCCAAAUGCCUCGCCAAAUCUGUAAAUCUUUAUA
Eriocheir sinensis (Chinese mitten crab) is the source of this 1130-nucleotide long non-coding RNA. RefSeq lists it as uncharacterized. The record is from RefSeq and is a predicted model, not a curated record. The transcript has 3 exons. Lineage: Eukaryota; Metazoa; Arthropoda; Malacostraca; Decapoda; Varunidae.